RNAcentral lists this ribosomal RNA (434 nucleotides) under uncultured bacterium. Its description in RNAcentral is "partial 16S ribosomal RNA". It matches the Rfam family "Bacterial small subunit ribosomal RNA", at positions 29 to 507 of the family's 1533-position model. The record is from RNAcentral.
AGCGAACGCUGGCGGCAGGCCUAACACAUGCAAGUCGAACGAACCUUCCGUGGUUAGUUGCGGUCGUGUGAGUAACACGUGGGAACGUACCUGUAGGUACCGUAUAACUCAGUGUAACUUGUGCUAAUGCCGAUGGUGCUCUUCGCGGGAAGGAUUUAUCGCCUUUAGAGGGGCGGGGGUCUGUUUAGCCAGUUGGGUGAGGUAAUGGCUCAGCAAGGCGAGGUUCAGUAGCUGGUGUGAGAGGAUGAUCAGCCACAUUGGGACUGAGACACGGACCAAAAUCCUACGGAAGGGAGCAGAGGGGAAUCUAGCGCAAUGGGGGAAAGCGUGACGCAGCCAUGCCGGGUAAAUGAGGCAGGUGUUAGGAUUGUACAAUUGUUUGACCGGGGGCGAUAAUGACGGUACCCGGAGAAGAAGCCCCGGCUAACUUCGUG